CCUACGGGAGGCAGCAGUGGGGAAUAUUGGGCAAUGGGCGCAAGCCUGACCCAGCAACGCCGCGUGAAGGAAGAAGGCUUUCGGGUUGUAAACUUCUUUUCUCAGGGACGAAGCAAGUGAUGGUACCUGAGGAAUAAGCGACUGAUAACUACGUGCCAGCAGCCGCGGUAAUACGUAGGUGGCAAGCGUUAUCCGGAUUUACUGGGUGUAAAGGGCGUGUAGGCGGGACUGCAAGUCAGAUGUGAAAGCCACGGGCUCAACCCGUGGACUGCAGUUGACACUGUAGUUCUUGAGUACUGGAGAGGCAGACGGAAUUCCUAGUGUAGCGGUGAAAUGCGUAGAUAUUAGGAGGAACACCGGUGGCGAAGGCGGUCUGCUGGACUGCAACUGACGCUGAGGCGCGAAAGCGUGGGGAGCAAACAGGAUUAGAUACCCCUGUAGUC
This 443-nucleotide ribosomal RNA is filed under the name uncultured bacterium. Its description in RNAcentral is "partial 16S ribosomal RNA". It matches the Rfam family "Bacterial small subunit ribosomal RNA", at positions 338 to 795 of the family's 1533-position model. The record is from RNAcentral.